GUAACCUGGAAGAGAGCACAGAGUUUUGUGAGAGACAGACAGCACUGUGCUGUGUCACUUGUCAGAGGCGACAUCACUGCAUCCCAUCCUGUGUCAAAAAUAGCAUUAUGCUCCCCAUGUCCUGACCUCACUAUACCACAUGCUGGAGGCAGCAUCAACUACUUGUGCACACCAUGCAGGAUUAAAUCCUUCACUCUAACAGAAGUGGCACCUUGUUGGCAAGUUGGACCUUCUUUUAAAAAGGGUUUUUUUUGAACGACUGAGGAGAAAGAGAGCCUUACAACACAGCUCAUGUACCUAUCAUUCAGGCUAAGGCCUGAGUGAACAGUUCUCUUUGGGAGAGACCAUCCAAUCCAGCCAAUGUCCUCUGCUGCCACACAGAUAGUAAUGCAACUUGCAGGCCAUUUAAAAGGAGGAUGGGAAAGACUAAUGGUGUCUACAGCAUGACCUUCUGGCAAGCCAGAGGUAUAGGAUUUCUUAUGGGGGGUCAGAGUCAACUGACCUCAACAAAUCUGGUUUAUGGCAGAGAUGGAAACGCUGUUAUCAGAGAUUGGAGGAUAUCCACAAUUCUAAUAUGCACUUAUACUAUAUUAAGUACAAGUGAUCUGUUUUACAGUCUCUUGCCAGGUUCUAUUAAAAGAAUAAUUUUAUUACAAAGGCACAUAGUAAUUCAUGUUACAUCACAUCUUUAUAAAAUCCUAGAGAUUAUGGAGAUUUUCUUGUUAUAUAAAAACAAAAUCCGAUCAAACUUCAUAGACUAACCAAAUAAUAUAUAUGUUGCAUAUUGGUCUAUCUACACUCAACUUCCUUUAAAUUUAACAGGAUUCUAACCAAAUGUACAAUACUUUUAGUAUUUUAAUAAUUCUGAAAAUCUCAGAAAGAGAAUGCAACAAAUAAUCCUGGCACAACAUUAAGUAGACUUUAAACUACUGUACACAUUGAUCAAUUCUGCAUUAGGAAUCAGAGGUAGGUUUCAUGGUGGGCAGCUAAAUGUACAGCAGUGGUAAAAUAAGAUGUUAUACAAUACAUAAAAUAUGGGAGGUGAAAAUGCAGAAAAUGUCAUUAUAUGAAAUGACAUUAGAUCCUCACCUUGCACUACGUUUAGUUGGCCAACUUAUCUCAAACAAGACAUAGCAGAAAUAGAAAAGAGCCAAUGGGAAUGGAAUGAGGAGACAUCAGGGUUGGAGAUUUUUAUAUGAAACAAGAUUAAAAUGAUUAGGACUAAAGUUUGGAAAAGUAAGGAAAUAUGUUGUCUGCCAGUUGGGCUCCUAUUUAUCAUGUACAAGAAGACAAGGGCAUUAUGAAAACAGAAAGGCAAAAAAGCACCUAGUGUAUUUUAAAAAAAAACAACACACAACCAAACUUGUAACUAAUGAGCCAUGUGCCAUUUGGAUACACAAAAUACCAAAACAGACUAUAUAUUCCUGCAAUUUCUGUGAGUUAGCAUCACCUUAUUUUCAUCAUCUGAUACACUGCUUACCUCAUAAUUCUGUCUUUCCCCACAGACCUGUGAAUUAUCCAGGUUUUUUAUUAUGUGUGAGUUUCCAGAAGGAUCUGAAAAUCUUAAAUGUGCUUUCAUCUUCUCCCAUACUAGCUAAAAGAUAUUUUACUCCAUGUAGUGGGGCAGCUUCCCCACUCCUGAAGAACAGGGGUUAAAAGCAGCCCUGGAGAGGGCUGCACCUGUGAAAGGCUAGCCUGAUUGGGGAAGCAGCCACAGGUGUGCCCAGCCCAAUCAGGCCACAGCUGGCCCUAUAAAAGGCUGUGAGCCUAGAGCUGAGAGGAGUCUCUCUCCAGCCCUAGAGUGGGAAGGGCUAGCUGCCUGAGAGCAAGAUACCUGAAGCAGAACAGAGCUAGGGAAAAGGGAGCUGGGGAGCUCCAGCCCAGAAAACCCCCAGGCUGCAGGCCCUGGUGAAGGCCUGCAGAGGUACUGGGGCUACAGAGGUGCAGCCUGGGGAUAGGCAAAGGCAGCAGGUCCUAACCCCUUGCCAAUGAUGAGUGGCCAUUACAGACUACAGUCUGCCCCAGUGAGCAGGGGCUAGAUGAUGACUGGCAGUAGCCACUGAGGCAAGGUGGGUCUAGAGGGUUAGGGGUUCCUCAAGGAGGGGAGACCCAGAGUGUGGGGGUACUGCAGGGGCAGAACUUUGAGGUAAAGAGGCACCAGGGACAAGGAGGAACAUGGGGCCAGCAGCAGGCAAGACACCGGCCUACAGAGGGCGCUCUGUAUGCUGAAAAAGAGCUAAUUUCCAGACGACCAGCAGGAGGCACCGUGCUUGUGAGGCUUCCCUUCGCUACACUCCAGGUUUGCAAGAGGUUGUCUACAGAGCGUGAAAGACUUAAUUUCUAGCAUUACUGAUAACGGUGAUUAAAAGUAAAUAAAGUAAGCCUCCUCCAUGGACCAUUUCUUCUCAUACUUACUGAUCAGAAGUUAGAUCUAAAGUCAUCAAUCAGCAAAGUUCCAAAAUCAUCUGUUAAGAAAUCUGUUCAAAACUGAAUGUAUUACUUAGGCCUUGUCAACACUUAAAAGUUGUAAAUACUGUAAUGCUUAGUGAAGACACUACCUAGGCCUACCUGAGAACUACUCCCAUCAGCAGCAGUAGCUAUGCUGACAGAAGCCCUUCUGUCAACAUAGCGCUAUCUACACCUGAGGUUAGGUUUGUAUAGCUAUGUUGGUCAGGGGUGUGGAUUUUCCAUACCCCUGAGUGAUGUAGUUACAGCAACAUAAGUUGGUAGUGUAGAUGAAGCCUAAGACUUCUAUUUCACUAAUUUAUAAAGUUUUAGAAGGGCAUUAAAACAGCUGCGCAGUAUAUGUAAGCCCUUUAUGAUAUUUGAAGAAAAGUUUCCAGAAAACUACUCUAUUUCCUUCAGGGAUAAGGAAAAUUCAAAUGACACUACCAUACCAGGUCAAAUGUAUUCCUGAUAUAACUAGGGAUAAGUCCAAUGAAGUAAAUGGACCUGUACUUGGGUUAACUAGGGCUGAAUUUGGACAUACUUGCCACCCACAUGGAGUAUAUGCUUUUUCUGUUGAACUAUCAGAGACCUUCUUGCUGACCUGACUUACCCAGAACUUCAAAGUGCUACAAAACCAAUGAGACUAAUCUGUGUAAAAAAAACCUUUCCCCUAACUCAAAAGAUUCUGAUAGAAGAACGCUUCAGCCUUAUGUGGAAGACCAGAUUAAAGUAGUUUCCUUCUGCCUACAACUUGCGUCUGGAAUUCAAUACUAAAGUGACCCACCCCAGACAAGCGCCUCUUGCUUUUGCUCUAUAUAUCCAGCAUUCUAAACAUUUUAAAGUUUCAGAUUAUUUUUGUACUCAGAUACCCUUAUAGCUGAAGGGCUUUCUGGCCCUUUAGGAUCCAGUUCAGUGGGAGAGACAUUAAAUACAGAACUCCUUCAAAAGGGAGAAUUUUAUUUCAAGAUGAAUCCACUAUCUCCAAAGGAGAAUUAUAUCACCCCUUGGGCCCUUGUUUGGAAUGAUUCAAUCCCUUACAGUGUAUUUAUUACUACCCUACUGCAGCAUAAUCUCCUAAUACAAAUAUCCAACUGCACACCAAAAAUGGUUAUCAAAGGCUUGUGUGAAAAUUAUAAUACAGGGGAGAAUUCCCCCUAGCUCCUCAAAAAAAAUCAGUCUUCAAUUGUUUAAAAUACAAGAAGUGAUUAAUGCACUUAAUGGACUCUUCAUCACCAAGACUUACUUCAAACUGAUACAUGCAGUGCAUUAAAAAAGUAAAUUUAAAAGCCAUUUCUAAAUAUUAUACAAGUAAAUUAGUAUUUAAGGAAAAAAUUAAAUUCCAUCAAGAAGCUGCAUGAUAUUGGUCACAAAAUAUUCUUUAAAAAUCCUUUAUGGAUCAAGGUAACAGACAAAAUUUAGAAUUAAUUUGCUAUUGUAUGUACAAUGCCUGACAAAGGAAUCUAUAAAUAUGAUACAAAGCUCCUCACCAAGACCCCAGGGUAUUCGAGUCUUAUGUAGUUAGUGGAUAAAGAUCUUACUGUUGGAAAAGCCCACAACAGAUGUGAUUUUGAUCAGAGUCCUGUGACGUGAAGCCCUAAAUUUAUAAAGGGCCCUUCCAACUCCAAUAAUUGACCAAUGGUCAGCCCUCACGUGGUGUUAAGAAGCAGGGAUGUUGGGAGCCAUGUAAACUUCCCUACGUCAGUGUUCAGCUUCUGAAAUAUCCGCAGAGAUGCCUACAAAUGGAAUGUGUGUCCUGAGCAGCAGAAAUUGGAUUUUGGUCCCCACCCCAUUACCAGCUGUGCUCAGGAAUUUGAAGAACUCAGUUCCCUAGUCUUUUGUAUUUUUCCCCAUGAACCUCCUCAUGGGAAGCAUGAAAACAGAUUUAUACAAUCAAUUUCAAAUUCAGAAAAAAAGAGCUUAAACUACAGUUAGUUUUGUAACGCAGUAGGGGCAUUUAGUGUAUUUCUAUUGAAAACAAACUUUGAAAAAGUUCUUUAGUGUAAAGCAAAUUUUACACAACAAUGGUACAAAUGACAAUACAACGUAAUCUCAUUUUAUAGCAGCCUAUCAACAGGAUUACAUUUUUCAUGUUUUAUACGUAAGAACUGUAUUAAUUCUUGUGCUGGUACACAGUAUCUUUUGCCCCCACACUUGCUGUUGGCAAGUGAACAGUUCCCAGUGCCAAAGCAUUAAGUUCAGACACCUGACAACAUAAAUUUAACUAUAUGGGAACUAGAAACUUCAAAAACUAGGUGGUCUUUAAUCCAAAAAGCUCUGACAAGCUAACCAGAGCAUUCUACAUGCUGCUAUUUCCAAAGCUUAAAGCUAAGGCCUUCUGAACCCAGAACAUCUUAUACACCAGUCAUAACUACAGCACCUUAAAACAGAUUCAAUUAUCAGGGAAUUCACUUUCUAACUCCAAAGGCCAUGUCUACACUAGCGAACUUACAGCAGCACAGCUGUACUGAUGCAACUGCGCCGCUGUAAAAAUCGCUCACGUAGCCACUCUAUGCCAACGGGGGAGAACUCUCUCGUCAACAUAAUAAAGCCACUUCCACGAGCGACGGAACCUACGUUGGUGGGAGAAGCUCUCUUGCCAACAUAGCACUGUCCACACCAGCACGUCUGUCAUCAAAACUUACAUCAUUCAGGGGUGUGUUUUAUAUAAAUUUAAAUAAAUUAUACUAACACAAGUGGUAGCAUAGACAAGCCCUAGGAUAGCUAAUCAAGGCUUCAAGACUAUGAGUAGGAAGGAAUCCAUCCUGUUUCCCCCACCCAUUCUCCAAAAAUAUAUACACCAAUGUCUUUUGUUUCUAGAUCUCCUUUUCCUGAUCUGAGUUUUGUAUUUUCACUAUUGCCAUUUUUUCAAUACACUGAGAGAUAAUUAACAGAUUACUUAUCACAAGUUUGUAUGUUGCUGAAGUUGUGUACCCAUGUAGAAAGCAGAGAAUGGUAGCAAGGAGUCACAACAAGUAUCCUUUACUGGCUCUGCAAUCUAAGGGUCUAUGGAGGUUUAUGAAUGGCCUCCAAAAGUCUCAUAUAACCUUUACACCCCUUCCUCCCCAGCAAAUUAAUUGCAAUAAGAUAACAAACCACUUUUUUUUUAAGCUUCUUUUAAUAUAAUUUAACAGCUGGAAAGGAGGAGUUAGCAUCAUGUGACCAGUCAGCUCUUUGCCAAUAAGUGCUCCAUGGACCACAAUUUGAGAACUAUUUUAAUGUUGGUAAGCAACAGCAUUUAAAAAAUUUAUUUCUGAAACCACAUGAUAUUGGAUCGACUCCAAGUUGCCAGCUAAUACAAAAAGGUCUGUCUUGUUCCUGGGGGUAAUAGGCAAAUUCCUCUAUGAUUUUCAUUACCAAUGAAAGAGGCAUCAGAAAUCAAGUAAAAGUUUGGUUUGCUGGAUGUAUGCUUGUCUUUAACAUUUCGAGCAGGAAAGUUAUUCAGAAAGAUUAUUAUUGAAAUGUGGGGCAGAAAGUAAAAGGGGUCAAAA
Chelonia mydas (Green sea turtle) is the source of this 5936-nucleotide long non-coding RNA. RefSeq lists it as uncharacterized. NCBI's taxonomy places the organism in Eukaryota, Metazoa, Chordata, Testudines, Cheloniidae. The transcript is spliced from 4 exons. The record is from RefSeq and is a predicted model, not a curated record.